UACGAAGGGGGCUAGCGUUGUUCGGAAUCACUGGGCGUAAAGCGCACGUAGGCGGAUUGUUAAGUCGGGGGUGAAAUCCUGAGGCUCAACCUCAGAACUGCCUUCGAUACUGGCAAUCUCGAGUCCGGAAGAGGUUGGUGGAACAGCUAGUGUAGAGGUGAAAUUCGUAGAUAUUAGCUAGAACACCAGUGGCGAAGGCGGCUCACUGGCCCGAUACUGACGCUGACGGCACGAAAAGCGUGGGGGAGCAAACAGGG
This 257-nucleotide ribosomal RNA is filed under the name uncultured bacterium. Its description in RNAcentral is "partial 16S ribosomal RNA". It matches the Rfam family "Bacterial small subunit ribosomal RNA", at positions 524 to 777 of the family's 1533-position model. The record is from RNAcentral.